AGUGAACGCUGGCGGUAGGCCUAACACAUGCAAGUCGAACGGCAGCACAGUAAGAGCUUGCUCUUACGGGUGGCGAGUGGCGGACGGGUGAGGAAUACAUCGGAAUCUACUUUUUCGUGGGGGAUAACGUAGGGAAACUUACGCUAAUACCGCAUACGACCUACGGGUGAAAGCAGGGGAUCUUCGGACCUUGCGCGAUUGAAUGAGCCGAUGUCGGGUUAGCUAGUUGGCGGGGUAAAGGCCCACCAAGGCGACGAUCCGUAGCUGGUCUGAGUGGAGGGUCCGCCCCACUGGAACCUGGACACCGUCCAGACUCCUACGGGACGCCUCAGUUGGGAAUGUUGGGCAAUGGGCGGAAAGCUGGUCCAAUCAUGCCGCGUUGGUUGAAAAAGCCUUCCGGUUGUAAUGCCCUUUUGUUGGGUAAGAAAAGCAGCCGGUUGAAACCCCGCCGUUCUGACGGUAACCGAAAAAAAAGCCCCGGCUAACUUCGUG
This 492-nucleotide ribosomal RNA is filed under the name uncultured bacterium. Its description in RNAcentral is "partial 16S ribosomal RNA". It matches the Rfam family "Bacterial small subunit ribosomal RNA", at positions 29 to 507 of the family's 1533-position model. The record is from RNAcentral.